GGUCAGGACGAACGCUGGCGGCGUGCCUAACACAUGCAAGUCGAGCGGAGUCAGUAAGAGGAAGUUUCGGAUGGAAUCUGUUGAUUAGCGGCGGACGGGUGAGUAACGCGUGAGCGACCAACCUUGCACAGGGGGAUAACGGACCGAAAGGUUCACUAAUACCGCAUGAGACCACGGUGUUGCAUGACACAGGGGUCAAAGGAGCAAUCCGGUGCAAGACGGGCUCGCGUCCGAUUAGGUAGUUGGAGGGGUAACGGCCCACCAAGCCUAUGAUCGGUAGCCGACCUGAGAGGGUGAUCGGCCACAUUGGAACUGAGAUACGGUCCAAACUCCUACGGGAGGCAGCAGUGGGGAAUAUUGGGCAAAUGGGGGAAACCCUGACCCAGCAACGCCGCGUGAAGGAAGAAGGUUUUCGGAUUGUAAACUUCUGUCCUUGGUGAAGAGAAGAAGACGGUAGCCAAGGAGGGAGCCCCGGCUAACUACGUGCCAGCCGCUGC
Molecule: ribosomal RNA, 497 nt
Filed under: uncultured bacterium
Lineage: Bacteria
Description: bacterial SSU rRNA
Rfam family: Bacterial small subunit ribosomal RNA
Source: RNAcentral